This is a long non-coding RNA of Anthonomus grandis grandis, 841 nucleotides long. RefSeq lists it as uncharacterized. The record is from RefSeq and is a predicted model, not a curated record. NCBI's taxonomy places the organism in Eukaryota, Metazoa, Arthropoda, Insecta, Coleoptera, Curculionidae. The transcript has 2 exons.
ACUAUUUAUUUUUCUAGGACCAUUUUGCCGAUGCGCCACUGUGUAGACUAGACACUGUGGACAGUGCGUAGACUUUACUUAAUCGACUCACCAAGCUAACCUGGCUUUUUUUUACAAGCCAGAUUUUCUUUGUUUUUGACAUGUUAUAGUUACUUCUCCUCAAGAAGAUGAAAAUACCCUAGUAAUCCAUAACUUAAAUGUUACUUUCGGAUCAAAAUUUACUUUAGAACUACAUGUCAGCUCUAUAUCUAGAAAAAUAACAUCUGGAAUAUUGUUCUGAGAAAUCCAUUCAGAACUGUGGACAGGCAGGUUGGUGCAAUUGCCCUCAUUCAUUCAGUGUGGUGUCACUCUGCUGACAGAAUCUUUGGAUUAUAGUGCAAAGCUGUUAGACUUCUGAGGUUAUAUUGGACACAGAGUUAGAUCAAGAAACCCAAAAAACUAUUGAAAAAAUGUCGCAACGAAAUAAUGAAGCUCUUGGUGAUUUCAUUUAAAUUUAUAAAAGUGAACCUUGCUUGUGGAAAGUGAAAGACAACGACUACCGCAAUAGAGGACAAGAGAGAUGGAACAUACAGAAAAUUAGUGAAUAAAUUAAAGAAAAGAUUAGAGCCUGAUGCAAACGAGACCUUGCAAAAAAAAUGAGAAGCAAUGUGCGAAAGGAGCAGAAGAAAAUUAAUUCCUCAAUGUAAUUGAAGGAACACUGUUGUUUGCGAUUCUUACGUCUGUUUUUCUUUCGCAAACAUCACACAAAAUAAAAUGAGAAACACCAGAUGAUCUGACAUACAUUAUAAACUAUUAAAUAUUAUAACUGUUAAAUUGUUGAUAUUACAUUCAGGAUAAUCAG